RNAcentral lists this ribosomal RNA (427 nucleotides) under uncultured bacterium. RNAcentral describes it as "partial 16S ribosomal RNA". It matches the Rfam family "Bacterial small subunit ribosomal RNA", at positions 355 to 774 of the family's 1533-position model. The record is from RNAcentral.
UGGAGAAUAUUGCACAAUGGGCGCAAGCCUGAUGCAGCCAUGCCGCGUGUAUGAAGAAGGCCUUCGGGUUGUAAAGUACUUUCAGCGGGGAGGAAGGCGAUAAGGUUAAUAACCUUGUCGAUUGACGUUACCCGCAGAAGAAGCACCGGCUAACUCCGUGCCAGCAGCCGCGGUAAUACGGAGGGUGCAAGCGUUAAUCGGAAUUACUGGGCGUAAAGCGCACGCAGGCGGUCUGUCAAGUCGGAUGUGAAAUCCCCGGGCUCAACCUGGGAACUGCAUUCGAAACUGGCAGGCUAGAGUCUUGUAGAGGGGGGUAGAAUUCCAGGUGUAGCGGUGAAAUGCGUAGAGAUCUGGAGGAAUACCGGUGGCGAAGGCGGCCCCCUGGACAAAGACUGACGCUCAGGUGCGAAAGCGUGGGGAGCAAACA